CUUAACUGUGGAAUUGCCUUUGAUACUGCAUAUCUUGAGUCUGGUUGAGGUAGGCGGAAUGUAGUAUGUAGCGGUGAAAUGCAUAGAUAUACUACAGAACACCCAUUGCGAAGGCAGCUUACCAAACCAGCACUGACGCUCAGGCACGAAAGCGUGGGGAGCAAACAGGAUUAGAUACCCUGGUAGUCCACGCCGUAAACGUUGAUCACUCGUUGUUGGCAAUAUACCGUCAGCGACUAAGCAAAAGCAUUAAGUGAUCCACCUGGGGAGUACGAUCGCAAGGUUGAAACUCAAAGGAAUUGACGGGGGCCCGCACAAGCGGAGGAGCAUGUGGUUUAAUUCGAUGAUACGCGAGGAACCUUACCCGGGCUUAAAUGUAGAGUGCAUGGGCGAUGAAAAUCCCCUUUCCUUCGGGACCC
Molecule: ribosomal RNA, 419 nt
Filed under: uncultured Bacteroidota bacterium
Lineage: Bacteria; Pseudomonadati; Bacteroidota
Description: bacterial SSU rRNA
Rfam family: Bacterial small subunit ribosomal RNA
Source: RNAcentral